GACGAACGCUGGCGGCGUGCUUAACACAUGCAAGUCGAACGGAAAGGCCUGCUUUCCCUUGUGGAUUGCGGGUACUCGAGUGGCGAACGGGUGAGUAACACGUGAGUGAUCUGCCCCCAACUUGGGUAUAAGCCUGGGAAACUGGGUCUAAUUCCCGAUAGGACUGCAGGGUGGUGCCUGUGGUGGCAAACGAUUUUCUAGUGGUUGGGGAUGAGCUCGCGGCGUAUCAGCUUGUUGGUGGGGUAAUGGCCUACCAAGGCGGCGACGGGUAGCCGGCCUGGGAGGGGGGACGGCCACAGUGGGACUGGGAUACGGCCCAGACUGCGACGGGAGGCAGCAGUGGGGAAUAAAGGACAAUGGGCGGGAGCCUGAUGCAGCGACGCGGUGUGGGGGAUGACGGCCUUCGGGUUGUAAACUCCUUGCGACCGCGAGGAAGCCACCUGGUUGGAAGGGUGGUGACGGUAGUGGUAGAAGAAGCACCGGCUAACUACGUG
This 494-nucleotide ribosomal RNA is filed under the name uncultured bacterium. RNAcentral describes it as "partial 16S ribosomal RNA". It matches the Rfam family "Bacterial small subunit ribosomal RNA", at positions 28 to 507 of the family's 1533-position model. The record is from RNAcentral.